RNAcentral lists this ribosomal RNA (380 nucleotides) under uncultured eukaryote. RNAcentral's name for it is "partial 18S ribosomal RNA". It matches the Rfam family "Eukaryotic small subunit ribosomal RNA", at positions 592 to 976 of the family's 1831-position model. The record is from RNAcentral.
CAAUAGCGUAUAUUAAAGUUGUUGCAGUUAAAAAGCUCGUAGUUGGAUUUGUGGCGUACGGUGUGUUCCGGGCACUUGUUGUCUGAGUAACCUGCUGUUGCCAUCCUUGGGUGGAACCUGUGUGGCAUUAGGUUGUCGUGCAGGGGAUGCCCAUCAUUUACUGUGAAAAAAUUAGAGUGUCCAAAGCAGGCUUAUGCCGUUGAAUAUAUUAGCAUGGAAUAAUGAGAUAGGACUUUUUUGCUAUUUUGUUGGUUUGCGCAAAGAGGUAAUGAUUAAUAGGGACAGUUGGGGGUAUUCGUAUUCCAUUGUCAGAGGUGAAAUUCUUGGAUUUUUGGAAGACGAACUACUGCGAAAGCAUUUACCAAGGAUGUUUUCAUUAA